AAGGCUUCGGGCCUACGUUGUUUUUGUCUUUCGCGGUCUUUAUAAUGUCAUGCGUUGGGAGCGCGGAGCGUGUUAGGAGUGAGCGAGUAGAUAGGCAAGGAGGUGGAGAGCAACGGGCCCCGAGGAUAGGACGUGAGGAGAGGGCGCGCGGGUGGUGGACAAGCUGGGCUGCGGGGCGGGGAGGUGUGCGCGGGGUGUAGGGUCAGCGAGCGGCGGUUACCGUUGCUGGCGGCGCCGGUACCGCGGGGGGAGGUGGAGGCGGAGGAGCCAGGAGGAGGAGGCGGCGGAGGGGAGGGGCCGGAGGCGGCGGGGGGCGACGACGGCGGAGCCGGGCGGCGGGGCGGAGGCGUGCCGGGCGGGCGCCCAGAGGGAGUGGUCGCUGCACAGGAGGAGCAGGCUGCACCGGCUCCUCCUCCGGCUCGUGCGCGGGUUCCAGCCGUCCGCGCACGCGCAGUGCCGCGGGGAGGCGCAGAUGGUGCAGCAGUUCCGCGGGCUGGACCUGUAGGUCCCGUACCUCCCGCAGUAGUUCGUCAUGCAGCCGCAGACCUUCCCGUUCGCGUAGUGGCGGUUGAAGGGGAAGUUCCAGCUCAAGGUCGAGUGGCAACUGUGCGUCGGGUUCGGCCAGUUCGAGAAGCAGGUGGAUGCGCUCCUGCUCAAGCUCAUGUAGCCCCUGCUUACUCUGGUGACAUGGAUGGAGAGACAUUGACAGGACAUGUACCGGUUCAUUCGGCUGUCGGAAGGAAUAUAUGUUAUUAUUACCGGCGUCGCAUCCGCACACAUAUAAAAAGGCCACACACGCACCACUCUCCCUACUUCCGACUUCUCCCAUCCUUAAUCCUUGCGUACUGGUCCUUCAACUAACGAACGAACGAGAGCAAGGGAACAAGGAGGAGAUUAAGUUGUAGAUAAAAAAGAGUCUACACCCCUUAACAAGCCUAUUACUACUAACUAUCAAGAUUUUAUUGUGGCUAUUAAAACGAGAAGGAACGUCGGAUACGAACUAUUAAAAUAAGGUUCUCGAAGAGAAUUAGACUAACGAUAUUAGUGUAACGACGAAGAUCCUUAUACAUAGGAAAUAAAUAACGUAGAUCCGAUAAAAAAAUUAAACAUUUUAUAUACAAGACAAUGCUCCCUUAAGCCAAUCCGUUGUUCAUAGAACGAAAACCUGUUGUGCUAUUCUAAAAACCU
RNAcentral lists this ribosomal RNA (1188 nucleotides) under Triticum aestivum (bread wheat). Its description in RNAcentral is "partial small subunit ribosomal RNA". The record is from RNAcentral. Lineage: Eukaryota; Viridiplantae; Streptophyta; Magnoliopsida; Poales; Poaceae.